GGUUAAGCGACUAAGCGUACACGGUGGAUGCCCUGGCAGUCAGAGGCGAUGAAGGACGUGCUAAUCUGCGAAAAGCGUCGGUAAGGUGAUAUGAACCGUUACAGCCGGCGAUGUCCGAAUGGGGAAACCCAGUGCAAUUCGUUGCACUAUCGUUAACUGAAUACAUAGGUUAACGAGGCGAACCGGGGGAACUGAAACAUCUAAGUACCCCGAGGAAAAGAAAUCAACCGAGAUUCCCCCAGUAGCGGCGAGCGAACGGGGAGCAGCCCGGAGUCUGAAUCAGCUUGUGUGUUAGUGGAAGCGUCUGGAAAGUCGCAGGGUACAGGGUGAUACUCCCGUACACUAAAACACACAGGUUGUGAACUCGAAGAGUAGGGCGGGACACGUGGUAUCCUGUCUGAAUAUGGGGGGACCAUCCUCCAAGGCUAAAUACU
This 434-nucleotide ribosomal RNA is filed under the name Klebsiella michiganensis. RNAcentral's name for it is "partial 23S ribosomal RNA". It matches the Rfam family "Bacterial large subunit ribosomal RNA", at positions 1 to 474 of the family's 2925-position model. The record is from RNAcentral. Lineage: Bacteria; Pseudomonadati; Pseudomonadota; Gammaproteobacteria; Enterobacterales; Enterobacteriaceae.